This 466-nucleotide ribosomal RNA is filed under the name uncultured bacterium. RNAcentral describes it as "partial 16S ribosomal RNA". It matches the Rfam family "Bacterial small subunit ribosomal RNA", at positions 28 to 507 of the family's 1533-position model. The record is from RNAcentral.
GAUGAACGCUGGCGGCGUGCUUAACACAUGCAAGUCGAACGAUGAAGCCCAGCUUGCUGGGUGGAUUAGUGGCGAACGGGUGAGUAACACGUGAGUAACCUGCCCUUAACUCUGGGAUAAGCCUGGGAAACUGGGUCUAAUACCGGAUAGGAGCGUCCACCGCAUGGUGGGUGUUGGAAAGAUUUAUCGGUUUUGGAUGGACUCGCGGCCUAUCAGCUUGUUGGUGAGGUAAUGGCUCACCAAGGCGACGACGGGUAGCCGGCCUGAGAGGGUGACCGGCCACACUGGGACUGAGACACGGCCCAGACUCCUACGGGAGGCAGCAGUGGGGAAUACUGCACAAUGGGCGCAAGCCUGAUGCAGCGACGCCGCGUGAGGGAUGACGGCCUUCGGGUUGUAAACCUCUUUCAGUAGGGAAGAAGCGAAAGUGACGGUAACUGCAGAAGAAGCACCGGCUAACUACGUG